This 253-nucleotide ribosomal RNA is filed under the name uncultured bacterium. RNAcentral describes it as "partial 16S ribosomal RNA". It matches the Rfam family "Bacterial small subunit ribosomal RNA", at positions 524 to 776 of the family's 1533-position model. The record is from RNAcentral.
UACGUAGGGUGCGAGCGUUGUCCGGAAUCAUUGGGCGUAAAGCGCGUGUAGGCGGUUCGGUAAGUCUGCUGUGAAAGUCCAGGGCUCAACCCUGGGAUGCCGGUGGAUACUGCUGGGCUAGAGUACGGAAGAGGCGAGUGGAAUUCCCGGUGUAGCGGUGAAAUGCGCAGAUAUCGGGAGGAACACCUAUUGCGAAGGCAGCUCGCUGGACCGGUUCUGACGCUGAGGCGCGAAAGCGUGGGGAGCAAACGGG